This 253-nucleotide ribosomal RNA is filed under the name uncultured bacterium. Its description in RNAcentral is "partial 16S ribosomal RNA". It matches the Rfam family "Bacterial small subunit ribosomal RNA", at positions 524 to 776 of the family's 1533-position model. The record is from RNAcentral.
UACGUAGGGCGCAAGCGUUGUCCGGAAUUAUUGGGCGUAAAGAGCUCGUAGGCGGUUUGUCGCGUCGAAUGUGAAAACCCGGGGCUCAACCCCGGGCCUGCAUUCGAUACGGGCAGACUAGAGUUCGGUAGGGGAGUCUGGAAUUCCUGGUGUAGCGGUGAAAUGCGCAGAUAUCAGGAGGAACACCGGUGGCGAAGGCGGGACUCUGGGCCGAUACUGACGCUGAGGAGCGAAAGCGUGAGGAGCGAACAGG